GGCAAAGUUGAUGGUGGUUUUCUAUUUCUGACACCUCUUGUAUGAGAAGAGCUUCAAAAGGUUGUUCCUUGAGCACAUUAAGCAAACUUCUGUUUC
This is a non-coding RNA of Solanum lycopersicum (tomato), 96 nucleotides long. NCBI's taxonomy places the organism in Eukaryota, Viridiplantae, Streptophyta, Magnoliopsida, Solanales, Solanaceae. The record is from Rfam.